UACGUAGGGUGCGAGCGUUGUCCGGAAUUAUUGGGCGUAAAGGGCGCGUAGGCGGCCUGGCAAGUGGAAGGUGAAAUCCCUCGGCUUAACCGAGGAACUGCCCUCCAAACUGCUUGGCUUGAGUCCGGGAGAGGUGAGUGGAAUUCCCAGUGUAGCGGUGAAAUGCGUAGAUAUUGGGAGGAACACCAGUGGCGAAGGCGGCUCACUGGACCGGAACUGGCGCUGAGGCGCGAAAGCGUGGAGAGCAAACGGG
This 253-nucleotide ribosomal RNA is filed under the name uncultured bacterium. Its description in RNAcentral is "partial 16S ribosomal RNA". It matches the Rfam family "Bacterial small subunit ribosomal RNA", at positions 524 to 776 of the family's 1533-position model. The record is from RNAcentral.